Molecule: long non-coding RNA, 281 nt
Filed under: Ananas comosus (pineapple)
Lineage: Eukaryota; Viridiplantae; Streptophyta; Magnoliopsida; Poales; Bromeliaceae
Description: long non-coding RNA (ACOM_LNC036214)
Source: RNAcentral
AAAAAAAAAUCUUGCACAAAUUUGCAAGGUAAUUAACUAAUAUUACAUAUAUCAUUUUUCAUCAAUCCAUUGACUCUAAAUAUGAAACUCGCCAAAGGUUUUCCACUUUGCAAACUUUUUUCUAAAAAAUUGUUAACCUAUAAAAACAUUAUCUAAUCAUGCUAUUAAAUCCAAAGAAGCAUUUGGAUUUGGAGAGUAGAAGACCUUUUGAUGAACUCUUGCCGUCACAUAUCUUUCUUUUUUCGCCUACUUGAAGAACUCAGCAGAACCUCCACCUCGAU